GGAGGGUUAGCUCAGCUGGUUAGAGCGUCCGCCUCACACGCGGAAGGUCAACGGUUCGAGUCCGCUACUCUCCA
Molecule: transfer RNA, 74 nt
Filed under: Eubacteriales bacterium
Lineage: Bacteria; Bacillati; Bacillota; Clostridia; Eubacteriales
Description: tRNA-Val
Rfam family: tRNA
About the family: Transfer RNA (tRNA) molecules are approximately 80 nucleotides in length. Their secondary structure includes four short double-helical elements and three loops (D, anti-codon, and T loops). Further hydrogen bonds mediate the characteristic L-shaped molecular structure. tRNAs have two regions of fundamental functional importance: the anti-codon, which is responsible for specific mRNA codon recognition, and the 3' end, to which the tRNAs corresponding amino acid is attached (by aminoacyl-tRNA synthetases). tRNAs cope with the degeneracy of the genetic code in two manners: having more than one tRNA (with a specific anti-codon) for a particular amino acid; and 'wobble' base-pairing, i.e. permitting non-standard base-pairing at the 3rd anti-codon position.
Source: RNAcentral